Molecule: non-coding RNA, 97 nt
Organism: Rheinheimera sp. SA_1
Lineage: Bacteria; Pseudomonadati; Pseudomonadota; Gammaproteobacteria; Chromatiales; Chromatiaceae
Rfam family: Bacterial small signal recognition particle RNA
About the family: The signal recognition particle (SRP) is a universally conserved ribonucleoprotein involved in the co-translational targeting of proteins to membranes. Archaeal SRP consists of a 7S RNA and homologues of the eukaryotic SRP19 and SRP54 proteins.
Source: Rfam
UAUCGGUCCUCUCGCAAUACUAGUACGUGAACCCGGUCAGGUCCGGAAGGAAGCAGCCGAAGCGUAUGACGUGUGUGCCGGGAUGUGGCUGGUAAGG